RNAcentral lists this ribosomal RNA (313 nucleotides) under uncultured bacterium. RNAcentral describes it as "bacterial SSU rRNA". It matches the Rfam family "Bacterial small subunit ribosomal RNA", at positions 30 to 329 of the family's 1533-position model. The record is from RNAcentral.
AUUGAACGCUGGCGGCACGCUUAACACAUGCAAGUCGAACGGCAGCAGCACUAGGGUAACCUAGUGGCUGGCGAGUGGCGGACGGGUGAGUAAAACGUAGGAACCUACCUUAGAGAGGGGGAUAACUCGGGGAAACUCGAGCUAAGACCGCAUAGUUUCUGUGGGAAACCACAAGAGGAAAGGCGCCUUUUUCGGAGGUGUUGCUCUAAGAUGGGCCUACGACGGAUUAGCUAGUUGGUGGGAAAGGCCUACCAAGGCGAUGAUCUGUAGCUGUUCUGAGAGGAAGGUCAGCCACACUGGGACUGAGACACGG